GCGCCGGGGAGGCUGGGGCGGGCAGGACGCCGGCGACAAGCGCGGCACAAGCGGGGACGGCCGCACCCGCGCAAGAGACUGAGCUAUCCUUUCAGGGACAUUCAGGAGUCUCUGGGGACUCUGUAGCAGCGUGCGGGCCGGUCUUGUGGUCCCGGUGAGAGCCCCGCAGCUCAUGGCUCUGUCCAGGGAGUUUUCAUGAUACGUUUGGAGCCCAAAGAGAGAAGGCUGCUGAGGAUAUUGCCGGUUCACUGUCGUCAACAGUUAUCCAGAACAGUGACGCACAAGCGUUGGAGAAAGCCUAAGAAUUCUGCAGGUGCGCUUCGUGAGAGGAAGUCUCUAGUCAGUUUGUGUGUGCUUGUCUUCUUUUGGCUCUCGAUUGUUUAGAAGAUUGGAAAGAAAACCAUUUAGGAAACGUGGACUGAUUUGGAACUUUUAAUCUUUGCCUAACAAAUUUAACUAGAAACACCAUUUGCUGAUACAAAGCUAAUUUAAAAAAUAAGAUGGAUGGAUGGAGGGAUGGAGAGAUGAUAGACUAAAAAUAGACUUGUGAUAAAGCAGGUGUGCUGGCAUGUUAACCGUAGAGCCUGUGCGAUGCUGUUCACAAAAUUCAGCAUUUCUGUGUUUGAAGUUUGAAAGUUUUCAUGAUAAAGUGUU
Cynocephalus volans (Philippine flying lemur) is the source of this 654-nucleotide long non-coding RNA. RefSeq lists it as uncharacterized. The record is from RefSeq and is a predicted model, not a curated record. Lineage: Eukaryota; Metazoa; Chordata; Mammalia; Dermoptera; Cynocephalidae. The transcript is spliced from 4 exons.